This 388-nucleotide ribosomal RNA is filed under the name uncultured bacterium. RNAcentral's name for it is "bacterial SSU rRNA". It matches the Rfam family "Bacterial small subunit ribosomal RNA", at positions 29 to 417 of the family's 1533-position model. The record is from RNAcentral.
AUUGAACGCUGGCGGCAUGCCUUACACAUGCAAGUCGAACGGCAGCACGGGAGCAAUCCUGGUGGCGAGUGGCGAACGGGUGAGUAAUACAUCGGAACGUGCCCAGUAGUGGGGGAUAACCCGGCGAAAGCCGGACUAAUACCGCAUACGACCUACGGGUGAAAGCAGGGGAGUCGCAAGACCUUGCGCUAUCGGAGCGGCCGAUGUCAGAUUAGGUAGUUGGUGGGGUAAAGGCCUACCAAGCCUACGAUCUGUAGCUGGUCUGAGAGGACGACCAGCCACACUGGGACUGAGACACGGCCCAGACUCCUACGGGAGGCAGCAGUGGGGAAUUUUGGACAAUGGGCGCAAGCCUGAUCCAGCCAUGCCGCGUGCGGGAAGAAGGCCU